RNAcentral lists this small RNA (27 nucleotides) under Bombyx mori (domestic silkworm). Its description in RNAcentral is "ovarian small RNA-35436". The record is from RNAcentral. Lineage: Eukaryota; Metazoa; Arthropoda; Insecta; Lepidoptera; Bombycidae.
UGUAGGUUCCCUUAAUGAAAUUACGGU